UUGUUUAUUCCUGUUUGUUUAAAAGCUGCUUUCUAGCUGAUAAUGCUUCUAGUCACCCUUUUUUUUGUUGUUGUUGUUUGAAAGCUGAAGUCCUGCAGGCACAGUAAAUUUUUAUUUGCUAUUUAAAUUCAUUUGUUUUACAAUGCAUCUCGUUUUGACAGAGCUUUCCAGGUCACUUUUAUUUACCUAUGUAUGCAUACACAUGCACAAACUUUCCCGCAGCGUCCUGCGGGGCCGACACCGGAGCCGCCGACCCGGCGGGCCGCCCCUGAAGUAAGCAGGGACGCGUCCCGCGGCUCCCCGCUGCUCUGCCGCCGGGGCCAGCGCUGCGUCCGCAAGGCACAGGCUGGCAGCCCGCAGAACGCCCGCUUUGGGUGACUGAGUAGGCUGCUGUUGAAAUGAGCUUUGUCAAGCGAUCGAAAGCUAAGGGAUAAGGAAACAACUUCGGCGAGGUAGCUGCGGUCCUGGCGCGGCUGCGAUGAAGACAAAAAGCCCUUCCCUCCUCCCGCGACCAAGCCCCGCGUCCCGCGGGGCCGGGCGAGCCGCCGCCACGCCGGCGAGGGGAGCGCAGGCAAAAAUCCCUUCCAUGACCAAGGAAGGAGGCAACGACGUUUUUACAGUCCUGAGAAGUGCCUGUUACUAGAAAUGAUUUUCACUUUGUUCCUGAAAAGUAUGCCAAGUUUACUGGUGUUUCCUGGUGAUGUAACAAAUAGAAGCAGGCAUGGCAGGAGGGAGCGGAGUUUUCCAGUGGAACAUGUGACAGCAGGGACCUGCUCCAGGAGUCUCAAUUGGGGCAUCUCUGAACGGGAGACUCUGGACCGGUGACUGGAAUUGUUUAGAAAAUACUAACUACAUGUGUGAGUUGCUGUAUGUAUAAGCCUGUACCAGACUCAUUCAGACUUGGUACUCUGAACAGACAAAGAAAUGGAACAAUAAUCAAGUGGAUGAAUUCUGAAUUCCAAGUUUUCAAGUGAAGAGAAACAAAGACAGUUGUUUGAGACCUAGAAAACCAAGAAGAGAGCUUCAGAUUGCUGUGAGAAUAGUAUUUUAAUUGUGUCAUGCCUCGGGUAACCCAGGAAAAAGAUUUAGUAAAAGAAAACACAGUAAGAUUGAAAGCAGCAUCACAAUGCAGGGAAAGAUUUUAAAACAUCAAUGUUAUGAACCAGUAACAAAAGGGCACAGGGUACUUGUAGUGAACAUGUGUUUUAGACAAUUUCCAGCCACUGGUCAGAAGUGGAAGUACUUUUAAAGAUAGCAGCCAAGCAUAUUAUAGAUUUUAAGCUCUCAAAAUACCUGAAAAACAUCCAAAAGUGUUUGGGAAACACUGUGAAAGCCAGUAUUUCUACAGUGAUUGUGAAUGUUUGAUCACAAAUAGGGUUUGACAGGCAAGAACAGACAAAUGUCAUAACAGAAGGUUAUGACUGUAAAGGUUUCUCUGUAAAGCAAAAUUUCUUAGCAGCAUUAGGCAGCAGUAAGCAAAAAUAUGGAAAAAAGAACGGGGGAAAAUAAUUUCAAGUUUAAAUUGGUUCAAGGAUAUCUCUUCUUACACUGAUGUCAAACGGUGACAAAUUAGGUCUCAGCUUUCCAAAAAUAAAAGGGACUCAAGUUGCUACAGUUAUAACAGUUAUUACAGUUAAAAAGUUAUAUUCCAGGCAGAAAAAGACACUAAUAUGUUUAUACAACUGAACUUAGAGAGUUAAGUAGCCAUCCUUCACAGAGACCCCACAGACAUUACUACACAACAGCAGACUUAUUAUGUGAGCAACAUACCAUUAAUAAAGAGACAAAAUCACUUGG
Long non-coding RNA from Motacilla alba alba, 1797 nucleotides. RefSeq lists it as uncharacterized. Lineage: Eukaryota; Metazoa; Chordata; Aves; Passeriformes; Motacillidae. The transcript has 5 exons. The record is from RefSeq and is a predicted model, not a curated record.